This 254-nucleotide ribosomal RNA is filed under the name uncultured bacterium. RNAcentral describes it as "partial 16S ribosomal RNA". It matches the Rfam family "Bacterial small subunit ribosomal RNA", at positions 524 to 776 of the family's 1533-position model. The record is from RNAcentral.
UGCGAAGGGGGCUAGCGUUGUUCGGAAUUACUGGGCGUAAAGCGCGCGUAGGCGGUUUUGCAAGCCAGAGGUGAAAUGCCUGAGCUCAACUUAGGAAUUGCCUUUGGGACUGUGAGACUUCGAGGACUGGAGAGGUGAGUGGAAUUCCCAGUGUAGAGGUGAAAUUCGUAGAGAUUGGGAAGAACACCGGUGGCGAAGGCGGCUCACUGGCCAGUUGCUGACGCUGUAGCGCGAAAGCGUGGGGAUCAAACAGG